Molecule: microRNA precursor, 63 nt
Filed under: Dasypus novemcinctus (nine-banded armadillo)
Lineage: Eukaryota; Metazoa; Chordata; Mammalia; Cingulata; Dasypodidae
Description: microRNA dno-mir-12087 precursor
Source: miRBase by way of RNAcentral
AAGCAGCAUCAGGCAGAUAACUUGAUCUAAAGACUAUUUAUUUAUCUGUCCAAGGCUGCAAAU